This 305-nucleotide long non-coding RNA is filed under the name Androctonus crassicauda. Lineage: Eukaryota; Metazoa; Arthropoda; Arachnida; Scorpiones; Buthidae. The record is from RNAcentral.
CCUUAUGAAGCUAUGUUUGGAUCAGUGAAAAAGAUUGGACUUGCGGACUCCUCUCUUUCCAGUAAUUUAUAUUCGUCUAUAGAAACAGAAGAAGAAUUGGAACUACUCCUUUCUUCAAUAAAAGGCAAUGAUAAAGACAACAGUGGUGAAGAAAAAGGCAACAAACAAACUAUUGAAGACAAAAAUAGGCCUCAAUCUGGAAAUAUAAAAAAACAGAAAAUAUUGAUUACAAUAAACUUUAUUGUGUGAUUUGUGAAAAAGAAACUUCUGGAGCCCAUAAGUGUUCAGGGUGUCAUCAAUAUGUU